This is a non-coding RNA of Sus scrofa (pig), 2318 nucleotides long. The record is from RefSeq and is a predicted model, not a curated record. Lineage: Eukaryota; Metazoa; Chordata; Mammalia; Artiodactyla; Suidae.
UCGUUAACCACUGUGCCAUGACGGGAACUCCAUGGCAACUUUCUUAUGUUCUACUUCACUUAAUCUCCAUGACUACUCUCUGAGCAAAGUGGGAUUCUCCCACUUUACAGAUGAAGCCAUGGAGCUGCAGCUAAAAGGCAGUGCUUGCCCAAGGUCUCACACAGGUCAUAUGAGAGAGAGGUGUGAAAUGAGAUCUUUUGUGGUUAAGCUCAGCAGUCUCCCCUGUUAGUUCCUGAUGUGCCUGUGGGUCCCCUGAUAUACCUUAUUCUCCCUCUCUGGGGCAGGAGAGGGGGUCUUGGUUGAAGGACUGACCAAGGGUGGACUCGGAGCCUUUGGCAAGGCAUAGAGGGAUGAAAAGCAUCAUAUAUCUGGUCCACCCAGGGCUGGUGCUUUGUCACAUCCCUCUGAGCUCUGGCAGUCUGGGUCUCCAGGAUCAUAAAUUUGAUUUGACUGAUUUCACAGUCAGCAUCACAUAAGCAGAUGACCUCCAGGGAGCCCAGUGGGUGGCAGAACCGUUCUGAUCAGCUUGUACAUAGAGUGGCACUCCCUUUCAACAUGGUUCUUAUUAGGAGUAUUUGGCUACACCUUCAGCCAAGUCUCCCCAGUGGAAACAGUUUGGCCCAAUAAAAACUCAAAACACUUAAAAUACUAGUUGCUAAUUCUCUCAGCCCUGGCUUUGUGAAGGAGGUUUCCUUGGAUUUGGAAAUUCCCUUUGAGGUUUUUACAUUUUCACUUGUCACUUAACCCUGGAAUGAGAUCACAAAAUGCUCCAACAAGUGCAAUAUUUUGGGGCCAACAGACCCAUGUUAAGUUUUAUAGCAAAUGCUGAAAACAGUAAUAGUCACCAAAGCCAUCGCAUACAAUGAACUAGGAAUCAGGUAUGAGGUACUACGUUUAUAAACAUUCCCUCAUACAAUCCUUCCAGAAGCCCUGCUAUGAUUCUAUCUCAUUUUACAGAUAAGGAAACCGAGGUUUAAGAGAAUGAAGUCACAUGUCUAUUAAAUGGCAGAGUGAGGAUUAAAAUCUAAGUCUGAAGUCCGGGUUCCUACUCACUGUUUAAUAGUAAGAAAAAGAAAUUUCCAUUCAUUUCCUUAAGCACCAGACAAUUUCUCUCUCAACUGGGAACAAUCUUUGUCUUCACCAGAUUAUCAAACUAUUUUAUCUGAAGCUAAAAUACAGCAUUUAUCACUUUUUGUCUUGAAUUACAGUUGCUUAGGGCUAUGCCUCAUCUCAGAUUAGACCGUGAGCUUUUACAAAAGAGAGUUCAUGUCUGAUUCUUCUCUUUCUCCGCAGGGUCUAGCACAGUGCCUGACACAGGAAGGCACUCAGCCAACAUGUGGUACAAGAACAAUAUUAAUAAUAAAAGCAAUAAACCCAAAAGAUGUUAGCCCCUGGCAUCUCCAAGUGAGGUUCAAGGGUAAAUAGCAUCGACAACCCUGGACUGCUUGUUAGAAAUACAGAAUCUCAGUGAUCCAGUGAAUCAGAAUCAGCUUUUUCACAAGAUCCCAAGGUGAGAAGCAUUGCCUUAGUCCACAUUACAAUUUGAUUUUAAAAAUUGUUUUCCCGGCUAUCUUGGGAUUUACGGAUGAGCAAAGGCUGGCCUGAGAGCCACCUCACCAUGGGAUUGACCUCCUUGUCCCCAACCCUCCAGCGGCCCCUGUAGUUUAUAGGAUAAAGUUCAAACUGCUUAGGCUGGAAUUUAAGAACUGCUCAGCUUGGCUGCAAUGGACUGAUUCUUUGCAACAUGAGUUGACUCUUUUGGCUCCUUUCCUUUUAUCUACUCUGUCCACUAGCCUGAGAUCUCCAUUCCUUUCCCCUCCGCCCCUUCAUCCCUCCCAGGCCUGGCUCAAAUUCCUCCUUCUCAUAACCACAGCCCACCACGCACAGUUUCCUCUGAAGUGUGAAAACAGAAGGAAGGAAUGAGCAGGCGGUGAAGACCUGCUGAGAUCCAGCUCAAAGGCUCCUCACAGCUGGGAAACUCUGCAGAUGGAAGUGCUUGGGGGACAAUUUACUGCUCAACUCAGAGAUGGCCUGUAUGACAGAGAGCUGACUGGGCUUGCUGCAGCCAUGGGAGAAUGUUUGUGGAGAAUUUCCAUGAAGAAGGGACUGGAUGCAGUUCAAUAUUUACUGCGUGUGCUGUUUACAUAUGUGUAGCCCAGACAUCAGCUGGGGGCCUUCCUGCCCCUUGAAAACCAGGCAUUCAGAGAUAUUGCAGUUUGGUUUGAGACCACCGUGAUAAAAUGAAUAUUCCAUGCAAUAAAGCAAGUCACUCAAAUAUUUCGGUUUCCCAGUGCAUAUAAAAGUAUGUUUGCACUAUA